GGUUAAGCGACUAAGCGUACACGGUGGAUGCCCUGGCAGUCAGAGGCGAUGAAGGACGUGCUAAUCUGCGAUAAGCGUCGGUGAGGUGAUAUGAACCGUUAUAACCGGCGAUUUCCGAAUGGGGAAACCCAGUGUGUUUCGACACACUAUCAUUAACUGAAUCCAUAGGUUAAUGAGGCGAACCGGGGGAACUGAAACAUCUAAGUACCCCGAGGAAAAGAAAUCAACCGAGAUUCCCCCAGUAGCGGCGAGCGAACGGGGAGGAGCCCAGAGCCUGAAUCAGUGUGUGUGUUAGUGGAAGCGUCUGGAAAGGCGCGCGAUACAGGGUGACAGCCCCGUACACAAAAAUGCACAUA
Molecule: ribosomal RNA, 356 nt
Filed under: Escherichia coli
Lineage: Bacteria; Pseudomonadati; Pseudomonadota; Gammaproteobacteria; Enterobacterales; Enterobacteriaceae
Also listed under: 1 other name
Description: partial 23S ribosomal RNA
Rfam family: Bacterial large subunit ribosomal RNA
Source: RNAcentral